UGAGUACGAGAUGCUACGGCAUCGAAGCAGUCUAUGUCAUACUUCCAAGAAAAGCUUGCACUGUCAGAAACAGAUAAUGCCUGUACCAUAACCGACACAGGUGGGUAGGUAGAGUAUACUAAGGGGCGCGAGAUAACUCUCUCUAAGGAACUCGGCAAAAUGACUCCGUAACUUCGGGAGAAGGAGUGCCUUAUUUUUAAGGUUGCAAUAACAAGAUCCAAGCAACUGUUUACCAAAAACACAGGUCUCCGCUAAGUCGUAAGACGAUGUAUGGGGGCUGACGCCUGCCCAGUGCCAGAAGGUUAAAGAAGUCGGUUAGCAUUCGCGAAGCUGGUAACUGAAGCCCUGGUGAACGGCGGCCGUAACGAUAACGGUCCUAAGGUAGCGAAAUUCCUUGUCGGGUAAGUUCCGACCCGCACGAAAGGCGUAAUGAUUUGGAUACUGUCUCGGAGAGGGGCUCGGUGAAAUAGACUUGUCUGUGAAGAUGCGGACUACCUGCACCUGGACAGAAAGACCCUAUGAAGCUUUACUGUAACUUGAAAUUGAAAUUGGACUUUAUUUGCGCAGUAUAGGUGGGAGGCGUUGAAAAUAUUCUUGCGGGAAUACUGGAGCCAUCAGUGAGAUACCACUCUUGUAAUGUUAGAUUUCUAACUUUAUAUCAUUAUCUGGUUAAAGAACAGUUUCAGGCGGGCAGUUUGACUGGGGCGGUCGCCUCCCAAAUGGUAACGGAGGCGCACAAAGGUUUCCUCUGAACGGGUAGAAAUCGUAUCUAGAGUGUAAAGGCAUAAGGAAGCUUGACUGUGAGACCUACAAGUCGAGCAGGGACGAAAGUCGGUCUUAGUGAUCUGACGGUGCUGAGUGGAAAGGCCGUCACUCAACGGAUAAAAGUUACUCUAGGAUAACAGGCUGAUCUCCCCUAAGAGUUCACAUCGACGGGGAGGUUUGGCACCUCGAUGUCGGCUCAUCGCAUCCUGGGGCGGUAGUACGUCCCAAGGGUUGGGCUGUUCGCCCAUGAAAGCGGUACGCGAGCUGGGUUCAGAACGUCGUGAGACAGUUCGGUCCAUAUCCGGUGUAGGCGUUAGAAUAUUGAGAGGAGCCUUCUUUAGUACGAGAGGACCGAGAAGGACAUACCUCUGGUGUACCAGUUAUCGUGCCAACGGUAAACGCUGGGUAGCUAUGUAUGGAGUGGAUAACCGCUGAAAGCAUCUAAGUGGGAAGCCCACCUCAAGAUAAGUAUUCUC
RNAcentral lists this ribosomal RNA (1241 nucleotides) under metagenome. RNAcentral's name for it is "bacterial LSU rRNA". It matches the Rfam family "Bacterial large subunit ribosomal RNA", at positions 1564 to 2815 of the family's 2925-position model. The record is from RNAcentral.